RNAcentral lists this long non-coding RNA (1000 nucleotides) under Parus major (Great Tit). RNAcentral describes it as "lncRNA (ENSPMJG00000010317.1)". The record is from RNAcentral. Lineage: Eukaryota; Metazoa; Chordata; Aves; Passeriformes; Paridae.
UGCAUUUGACCAUUCAGUGUUCUUGGAUUUCUUUUGGAAAUUUCUUCUCACAAGUUUGAAAGUGUAUAUAAUCUUUUAUGUUAUGUUGCCACUGCUAGAGGAGCUAAGAUAAAAGGUAAGAAAGGCAGAAAUGGGCUGAAGGUAACGAGACUCUUUCCUUGGUUUGUAGCCCAGAUACUGAUGGUGUGAUGGCAGAGGCUUUGCUCACAUUCUGGUUCUCCUCUACGGAUUCUAGAGAAGCAUUGCGGGAAAGAGUUGGAAAGAUCUUACGGAGGGGCCUGAAAAAAUACACAGGACCUCUGCGAAUAAAUGUCCGAUCUUCUACCGUCUCAAAUGUGGAGCCAAAAAGAGCAGAAGCCAUCUUCAAUGACAGUAAGUGAGGCUUUUUUAAACAUCAGAAGUCUCAUCUCCAACUUUUAAAAUUAGCGUUAAGAGUCCCUUUUCCUGGCCCUUAAGAGCCUUUUCUCCUUCUUCUGUCUACGGAAUGUGACCUUUUACUCUCAGAAAUUUGGACUAUGUCAUCUUCUUCAGCAUGCAUUGAAAGGAGAGAGGUACCACAAGGAAAUGUAUAGAAGUUACAUCAUCCUGUGGUUAAAAUGAAAAUGUUAUGGAAUUUGGAAUGACUGACAGCACAAAAUUUUUCCUCGUGGAAAUAUAUGGAAAUGUGACUGGUCUUCUCAAUGCAUUACUGUAGGGGUUAGAUAGAGAUACCUUGUUUUAGGGAUUUUUUUAAGUUUUCCGAGAAAGAAGUCAGCUUACUUGGAGAUAAAAUAGUCAUAAAAGCUAUCUUUGCUUACAAUUUGUGUUUCUUUUAACUCUGAGAAUGUUUGAUGAAUUCCUUAGCAAUAAGCUGUCAAACAAUGGAAGAUUAAAUUACAUCACUUUUUGGGUCUGAUGUAGGUGCUGGUGUUCUGGGGCACUAAUGGAGUUGAGUGUUUUCCCUGUGUUUUGAAUAUUGACUGCUCAGGUGGUUGAUAGGAUUGUGCAGUUUUAGGACCAG